UUUAUAGUCUGUACAGCAAGUGACACACACUAUCCUUAGACCCUCACCUCAAGUGAGGAAAAACCCUUGUACAGGGGGAAAAAUGGGAGAAACCUCAGGAAGAGCCACAGAGGAGGGAUCCUCUUCCAGGACGGACAGACAUGCAGAAGGCUUUCCUGUGAGGACAUCAGACAUGAUCGUCACCAACGUAGGCCAUCUCUACUUUAUGAUAAAGGGUUUCAUUUCAACUCGGAAAAUGAGAACGACGCUUGAAAUGAUUCAGAAACUUCAAGAAAUGACUUGAAAUCAUCUGAAAAUGACUGGUCUCUGUUUACCUUCUCCUCCCUCCUCGUUCUCUUUGGGCU
Solea senegalensis (Senegalese sole) is the source of this 344-nucleotide long non-coding RNA. RefSeq lists it as uncharacterized. The record is from RefSeq and is a predicted model, not a curated record. Lineage: Eukaryota; Metazoa; Chordata; Actinopteri; Pleuronectiformes; Soleidae. The transcript has 3 exons.